Molecule: ribosomal RNA, 393 nt
Filed under: uncultured bacterium
Lineage: Bacteria
Description: partial 16S ribosomal RNA
Rfam family: Bacterial small subunit ribosomal RNA
Source: RNAcentral
AUACGGAGGAUCCGAGCGUUAUCCGGAUUUAUUGGGUUUAAAGGGAGCGUAGGCGGACGCUUAAGUCAGUUGUGAAAGUUUGCGGCUCAACCGUAAAAUUGCAGUUGAUACUGGGUGUCUUGAGUACAGUAGAGGCAGGCGGAAUUCGUGGUGUAGCGGUGAAAUGCUUAGAUAUCACGAAGAACUCCGAUUGCUAAGGCAGCCUGCUGGACUGUAACUGACGCUGAUGCUCGAAAGUGUGGGUAUCAAACAGGAUUAGAUACCCUGGUAGUCCACACAGUAAACGAUGAAUACUCGCUGUUUGCGAUAUACAGUAAGCGACCAAGCGAAAGCGUUAAGUAUUCCACCUGGGGAGUACGCCGGCAACGGUGAAACUUAAAGGAAUUGACGGGG